GGGUGAGUAACACGUAUGCAACCUGUCCGGUACAGGGGGAUAAGCGGCGGAAACGCCGUCUAAUACCGCGUGACAACCCGAGGGGGCAUCCCCUUGGGUUCAAAGGAGAGAUCCGGUACCGGCUGGGCAUGCGGCGCAUUAGCUAGUUGGCGGGGCAACGGCCCACCAAGGCGACGAUGCGUAGGGGUUCUGAGAGGAAGGUCCCCCACACUGGAACUGAGACACGGUCCAGACUCCUACGGGAGGCAGCAGUGAGGAAUAUUGGUCAAUGGGCGCAAGCCUGAACCAGCCAAGUCGCGUGAGGGAAGACGGCCCUACGGGUUGUAAACCUCUUUUGCCGGGGAGCAAGCCUGAGCACGUGUGCCCAGGCGGAGAGUACCCGGAGAAAAAGCAUCGGCUAACUCCGUGCCAGCAGCCGCGGUAAUACGGAGGAUGCGAGCGUUAUCCGGAUUUAUUGGGUUUAAAGGGUGCGCAGGCGGGCUGUUAAGCCGGCGGUAAAAAUUCAGGGCUCAACCCUGUCGAGCCGUCGGAACUGGCAGUCUUGAGUGGGCGAGAAGUAUGCGGAAUGCGUGGUGUAGCGGUGAAAUGCAUAGAUAUCACGCAGAACGCCGAUUGCGAAGGCAGCAUACCGGCGCCCAACUGACGCUGAGGCACGAAAGCGUGGGGAUCGAACAGGAUUAGAUACCCUGGUAGUCCACGCAGUAAACGAU
This 710-nucleotide ribosomal RNA is filed under the name uncultured bacterium. Its description in RNAcentral is "bacterial SSU rRNA". It matches the Rfam family "Bacterial small subunit ribosomal RNA", at positions 104 to 810 of the family's 1533-position model. The record is from RNAcentral.